Molecule: long non-coding RNA, 1233 nt
Filed under: Lepisosteus oculatus (spotted gar)
Lineage: Eukaryota; Metazoa; Chordata; Actinopteri; Semionotiformes; Lepisosteidae
Description: lncRNA (ENSLOCG00000022403.1)
Source: RNAcentral
CAGAGAAACCCUCUAACACCCCACUUCUUACCAUCAGAUUCCCUGGCAGCGAGAUUUGUUCACUGUUAUUUGAGUCUGUUUUCCUUCCUAGGUUUCUAAAAAAAUACACCCAUAAGAAGUACACCACAUCCACACACAGCAGGCAUUCAUCACAGGAAGGACCCCAAAUGCCAAAAGUAUGGAUUGUUCAAUACUGCACAGAUACAGGAUAGUAUCGUACAUGGCUUGUUAUUUAAAAAAUGAAAUGAGAAACAACACAGUCCAGGUGAUAAAUUCAAAUUUAGCACAAGGAAGCAAUUAUAAUUCAAUGCUGCUCCUUAGCUUGCUGUUUAAGCAGAAAUCAAACCAUGGCAGGAUUUGAAAUGCAGAGAAACUGGGGAUCUAACAAGCGUACAAAGCAAGGUAAACAUUUUUUUCCUCGCAGGCCAAUUUUCCCUAUCUCAUCCAGGCCAGUGUACCUCAGCAGGCUUGAUUUAUCAACGAGGGCAGCAGCUUGGAGCUCAGCCGGCCGUGUCGAUGUUCGGCACAUUAGCAAAGCGGAAUGAAUCCCCUCCAAACGCAAGUCACACCGCGCACGACGAUUUCUCCGCGUAAGAAUGAAUCGGACCGUUGAUUAGCGUCUGCAUAUCUGCGAAUUAGCAGGAAUUGAUAUCUAAUUUUACCCGCUGGUCACAGGUUGCUUGCAGUUCUCAAUGAGUCACGGCUGCGGCAGAUUGCCAGCACUAUGUUUCUCCAGCGCCCCAGUUUCCUCAACUCAGAGAAGUCAAAGCCAAGAGCACAACCAAGCGCGGAAAGAGGGGGAACAGAUGGAGCACACUGCAGCCCUGGACAGAGCCACAGCACUCAGCGUGGGCAGCUUUUACUCAGCCGGUGGAAAGGGUGAGGAGGGGAGAGGUGAGGAUUAUGUGACGUGUUCCCCCCACACCUACUUAUUUUAAAGGGUCACCCCCGAACCCCCCCCCCCAACCCCUCACAUUAUGAUUCCAGAAAUGCUCUGAGGGAAGAGGGCUACUGUAAAAUUCGUAAUUGUUUCCAGUAAACUCUAUGUCACCUCUCGAUUUUAUGCGGCUCACACUUUUGUUGGCAGGCACCCCUUACAGCCAACCCCCCCCUCCCCCAAAACAAGGGGGUUCCCCUUCGUUCCCUCUUGACCCAGCAGGACCACCUCAGCUCUGACCUGAAGGUGGCGUUUCUGUCCUGUCAUUUGAGAGCCGAAGGUGGCUUUGUGGUGUA